This 255-nucleotide ribosomal RNA is filed under the name Xanthomonas sp. XNM01. Its description in RNAcentral is "Bacterial large subunit ribosomal RNA". It matches the Rfam family "Bacterial large subunit ribosomal RNA", at positions 1088 to 1341 of the family's 2925-position model. The record is from Rfam by way of RNAcentral. Lineage: Bacteria; Pseudomonadati; Pseudomonadota; Gammaproteobacteria; Lysobacterales; Lysobacteraceae.
GACAGCCAGGAGGUUGGCUUAGAAGCAGCCACCCUUUAAAGAAAGCGUAAUAGCUCACUGGUCGAGUCGGUCUGCGCGGAAGAUUUAACGGGGCUAAGUGAUAAACCGAAGCUUGGGGUGCACAAACUUGUUUGUGCGCGGUAGAGGAGCGUUCCGUACGCCUGCGAAGGUGGAUUGAGAAGUCCGCUGGAGGUAUCGGAAGUGCGAAUGCUGACAUGAGUAACGAUAAUGCGGGUGAAAAGCCCGCACGCCGAA